This 387-nucleotide RNase P RNA is filed under the name Clostridia bacterium. RNAcentral describes it as "RNase P RNA component class A". It matches the Rfam family "Bacterial RNase P class A". From Rfam's summary of the family: Ribonuclease P (RNase P) is a ubiquitous endoribonuclease, found in archaea, bacteria and eukarya as well as chloroplasts and mitochondria. Its best characterised activity is the generation of mature 5'-ends of tRNAs by cleaving the 5'-leader elements of precursor-tRNAs. The record is from RNAcentral. Lineage: Bacteria; Bacillati; Bacillota; Clostridia.
UGAGUUUGUUAUACGGUCGCGGGGCAUUUUAUAUGUCAUGAGGAAAGUCCGAGCAGCACAGGACAGGGUGCUUGAUAACGUCAAGUGAAGGUGACUUCCAGGAUAGUGCAACAGAAAUAGACCGCCGCAAAAGGCUUGAUUUUUAUCUUGAUUAUCUGUUUACAGAUAGCCCGUUUGCGGUAAGGAUGGAAAGGCGAGGUAAGAGCUCACCGAUACCGUGGUGACACGGUAUGCCAUGUAAACCCCACCCGCUGCAAGAUUGGGUAUCCGUCAAUAGGGCUGUCCGUCCGACGGAAUACCGUGAAUAUCGCUAGAACUUGUCGGCGACGGCAAGUGUAGAUAAAUGACCGUACACGACAGAACUCGGCUUACAGACAAACUCAAAUC